This 221-nucleotide ribosomal RNA is filed under the name Paenibacillus polysaccharolyticus. RNAcentral's name for it is "16S rRNA. Bacterial SSU". It matches the Rfam family "Bacterial small subunit ribosomal RNA", at positions 1 to 212 of the family's 1533-position model. Lineage: Bacteria; Bacillati; Bacillota; Bacilli; Caryophanales; Paenibacillaceae. The record is from RNAcentral.
CUUUAUUGGAGAGUUUGAUCCUGGCUCAGGACGAACGCUGGCGGCAUGCCUAAUACAUGCAAGUCGAGCGGACUUGAAGAGAAGCUUGCUUCUCUGAUAGUUAGCGGCGGACGGGUGAGUAACACGUAGGCAACCUGCCCUCAAGCUUGGGACAACUACCGGAAACGGUAGCUAAUACCGAAUACUUGUUUUCUUCGCCUGAAGAGAACUGGAAAGACGGA